This 73-nucleotide transfer RNA is filed under the name Patescibacteria group bacterium. Its description in RNAcentral is "tRNA-Ala". It matches the Rfam family "tRNA". From Rfam's summary of the family: Transfer RNA (tRNA) molecules are approximately 80 nucleotides in length. Their secondary structure includes four short double-helical elements and three loops (D, anti-codon, and T loops). Further hydrogen bonds mediate the characteristic L-shaped molecular structure. tRNAs have two regions of fundamental functional importance: the anti-codon, which is responsible for specific mRNA codon recognition, and the 3' end, to which the tRNAs corresponding amino acid is attached (by aminoacyl-tRNA synthetases). tRNAs cope with the degeneracy of the genetic code in two manners: having more than one tRNA (with a specific anti-codon) for a particular amino acid; and 'wobble' base-pairing, i.e. permitting non-standard base-pairing at the 3rd anti-codon position. The record is from RNAcentral.
GGGCCGUUAGCGCAGCUGGUAGCGCGCCUCGAUGGCAUCGAGGAGGUCACCGGUUCAAGUCCGGUACGGUCCA